This is a long non-coding RNA of Bufo bufo (common toad), 560 nucleotides long. RefSeq lists it as uncharacterized. The transcript is spliced from 4 exons. The record is from RefSeq and is a predicted model, not a curated record. NCBI's taxonomy places the organism in Eukaryota, Metazoa, Chordata, Amphibia, Anura, Bufonidae.
AAGAGUAUUUAUUAUUAAAGAGACGGUGUGCCUCAAAACCGAGAAUCCUGAUUUAGCCCAGUGUGAUUUCAAGCCCGACGGAGAUGUAAAGAUCUGUUCUCUGGAUUUGGGUGAUGAGGAUCCCGAGGAUAUAAUGUGCACCAGUCUGAACAAGGAGGUCCGUGUGAAGCGGUCCAGCAGAAGGAGCCAAUGCAGGGGGAGGUCCUGCAGGCCGUGGCUAAGAGGAGGUCAUACUGUUAUUGGCUUUGGCUUACCCGGUAAAAAACAAAACAGACCUAACUACAUGUGGGUGUAAAGAUCUGCAGUCAACAGUGGAACGAGAUCUGAGAUUGUGGCUUAUGACAAGCACAUUACGGUUAUAAAGCUUUACUAGUUAUUAUUAUGAGGUGCGAGGUGGCACAUUGCGAAUCCCUCCUUACUUCUCCUGACCUCUCCCAUCUUCACUCUGGUCUGUGGAGGAGAGAUGUCAGGAGUUUCAGCUUGCUAUGAGAUCAGCCAUGUUCUGUCUGUGGAACGUUCUGAAUGGAUACAAUGUUACAAAUAAACGAAGCAACAAAUAA